AUGGAAAUCUGCUUCAUCCUAGUAGGGGUUAACUUACUUCCUGCAGCUAGCUGAAAGGUAAUGAAGAGAAAUGGAUUAACCAUGAGACUGUGCACAUCUGUGAUGUAAUCAAACCAGAAGUGGAUUAUAGGUAUCUGCUUUGCAAGAGGUGAGGGUAAAAAAAGAAGACAGCUUGUUUGGGGAGGAAGUCAGAAGUAUGUCUUUCUGGAAAGCUUUUCCACAUCGCUUUGGAUCAAAGAAAACAGAUUCAUGUGGACACUAGGUGUGGUUGGUCUACUAAAGAAUUACAGCUUUCCAGUGCCAGCUCAAACACUGAAGAUUCCCUGCCACCAUAAAGCUAUAAUUGCUGAAUUAAUAACAGGAGGUUUUGGAGAGUGACUGCACAGAAUCUCUGACCCAGCCACAAUGAUUUUGCCAUGUGAAGGAGAACUCCUGGAAUGGAAGUUGAUUUGUACAAUUUAUCUGACAGAGACAGUGGGACUUCAGCUUGAGAACCUGGAUGAACCCAAGUGAAGAUUCACUUUAUUUAAACUAAACCUAGAAAAACAUCUGUACCUGGACUCACUAUGGCAGGGAUGAGAACAGCAUUACCUGAACCCAGAUUCUUCUGCACUUCACAAAGUUAUGCACCCUGUUCUACAUUGCUCCAAGUUCAGAAAGGUGACAACUAUUAUGCCUCUUCAUGCUCUGUAAAGUAUUAAAGGACAGCCAGUGCUGCUUUUGAUAUGAAAACAUAGAGUUAACUGAAAUAUUGCUACAGCUACAUUUCAAACAAAAAUGAAGCAAUCUGAGGUCUUUGCUGCUCUUCAGAUUUGCACUAUUUCAGGGCUAAGUGCUAUAAACCUCUAUGUGAAGGCACACAGUGAGGAUGGGCAUUACUGUGGCUCUUGGAAUGCAUGCAUAAGAAAUUAUUAACGUGGGACUUGGCUGCUGCAGGGGCACAGGACAAGCUGGACUGCACUGACUCCAGAGGCAGUUCUCAUGAAGAACUGAAGUGUCCGGGCACUCAGAAAACAAGGAGAGCCAUUGCUGGGCAGGGAAUGGAGAGAUGAGAGCUUGGGCAGAGGGAACCAGUGUGGACUGGCUGGGGAGCAUGAAAAUGGGCUAUGGAAAUGCAAGGUGAUUUGAAGCCCAAGGACAUUCAGUAAGAACCUUCCUAUUGAACAGAGGGCUUCUGCCCCCUA
This is a long non-coding RNA of Pezoporus flaviventris, 1184 nucleotides long. RefSeq lists it as uncharacterized. The transcript is spliced from 9 exons. Lineage: Eukaryota; Metazoa; Chordata; Aves; Psittaciformes; Psittacidae. The record is from RefSeq and is a predicted model, not a curated record.